CAAAGUAAGUGCCCUUUGAUGAAGCUUAUAGUUUCUUUUCAAACUGGUAAUGUGCUUAAAAUGACUUUGGUUGGUCAUGGUGAUGAAUUCACUUUCUGAAUGCAGUAUAAUCAUUUGUCUCACCAUUAAUUUACUUUGGAUGUGGAUCGUGACUUUUUGACUGCAUAUUGUGUCUUCUUUGCAUUAUAAGGUCAGUAGAUAUGCUUGACCUUAUGAAACUCUCUGUUUGGCUGUGAUUGGCUGGAAUCCCACACAGGCUUUGAUUGGCACACUCUGACCAAAUGUUCCUUUGGAGUACACUGUCGCAGAGUUAUUAUGUUUUUGUGUUUCUUGUGGUCAGCAUCCAUGUUUCUGGGAUGUCUACCUCAAUGUCCAAUUUAUGUUGUAACAGGCAAAGUCUUAUGUGGAUGGCCUCUUAUACCCUGCAUGUAUAAUAAUAGGAUCACAAUCAAUGUACUCUACUUCAGUCCAGAGCAGGUGGUUUCCAGGUGUCUUCUGAAACUGCAGAGGCCUUUGUCUUAGCAUGUCAUUUCUCUAUAUGCUAUAUAACUCGUUUAACCUUACUUGCAUAGGUUUUCCUGUUCUGCUGAUGUAAACUUUGCCUUACUCUCAGGCAAUCUUUUCAACCAGGGGCUCUUGUUUUAAAGAUGCUGUGCCAUGGAUGGGGAGUGUCCUGUUACUAUUUGUAACAUCAGUGAAGUGAAUGGAAUGCUUUCGGUUCUUCAAAUGCUGUAGCAAGCAAGAUUGUGAAUGUGUUAUAUACAGAGCGUUCCCAGAUCCUUCGCUGGUAGGAUGAUAAGUUCCACCCCGUUUUAGUAAUGAGUUUAGAAAUCUCACCAUUGCACCCUAAAGCUCCAUUCCUUUGAUGCACUGUGAUCUGUGUGAUCUUGGACCACAAAUCCUAAUCCAUAUCCUCCCAAAGGAACACACAAUUUAACUCCACAUUUACAAAAAAGUGUUAUUUGAGAGGUGAUCCACAAGUAUCAGUCAGCUGGACCAAGGAUGGAGUGCUACUUAGUAAAAACAACAGCCUGGUUAUUAGACAAGUGACAUUUAAAGAUAAGGGCAAUUAUGAAUGUACUGCUAAAUAUGAUUAUGGCAAAGCAAACUCUUCCUUCCAGAUGGAUGUCAGAGGAUUGGAAAUCAUUGAAAUUAUCACCACAACAGAGAAAUGGAUCUUACCAUGUAUGUAUGGAGUCACAUCCUAAAAGGAAAAAUUUGGAGAAAAAUAUAUAAUGCAAUACUUGCAAAGAACACAGUUACCUCAUCAUGGUGUACCUCUCAAAAGAAUCUUGCCCAUUUCCUUGUAUGGUCCUUGAACUGUUCUGGUGUUUUGUAGCUUUCUUGGCCUGGUUCUGGGUCCACUGCUUCCACCAGAUCACUGAAACCCUAUUUUAUCAACAAAGAGAGCAAAACACUGAUUGGCGGAAGAAUCUCUCUUUCCUCGUCUGGUAAGGCCAUCCUCAACUCAUGGUAUGCCUCGUCUGAAAUCAAGCCUUCAUCUUUCGCAACAAGUACAUGCUGCGUCGUCCGACAAGUGGAGUUUUCUCUCUCGUCACCAGCAUCGUGUCCAAGUGGAAUUACAACUUCACGUCCUUGUACAGUGAACUUAAUCUGAAGAAGAAGACAGGGGUUUCCCUUUAAAAUUUGUUUUCAUAUGAACAUAGCUAGAUAGAUAGAUUGAUCGCCACAUAGAUGUAUGAUUUUUUUUCGCGACUUUGCUGUUGGUCAAUGUCUCAGUUCUAUUUUUCACGAAGAAGUAAAAUUGUUACUUACCUUGA
Pocillopora verrucosa is the source of this 1781-nucleotide non-coding RNA. The record is from RefSeq and is a predicted model, not a curated record. NCBI's taxonomy places the organism in Eukaryota, Metazoa, Cnidaria, Anthozoa, Scleractinia, Pocilloporidae.